GAUGAACGCUGGCGGCGUGCUUAACACAUGCAAGUCGAACGGAAAGGCCAGUGCUUGCACUGGUACUCGAGUGGCGAACGGGUGAGUAACACGUGGGUGAUCUGCCCUUUACUUCGGGAUAAGCUUGGGAAACUGGGUCUAAUACCGGAUAGGACAACUUUUUGGAUAUUGUUGUGGAAAGCUUUUGCGGUAUGGGAUGAGCUCGCGGCCUAUCAGCUUGUUGGUGGGGUAAUGGCCUACCAAGGCGUCGACGGGUAGCCGGCCUGAGAGGGUGUACGGCCACAUUGGGACUGAGAUACGGCCCAGACUCCUACGGGAGGCAGCAGUGGGGAAUAUUGCACAAUGGGCGCAAGCCUGAUGCAGCGACGCCGCGUGGGGGAUGAAGGCCUUCGGGUUGUAAACUCCUUUCGCUAGGGACGAAGCUUUUUUGUGACGGUACCUGGAGAAGAAGCACCGGCUAACUACGUG
Molecule: ribosomal RNA, 468 nt
Filed under: uncultured bacterium
Lineage: Bacteria
Description: partial 16S ribosomal RNA
Rfam family: Bacterial small subunit ribosomal RNA
Source: RNAcentral